CCUUGAGAUGAGUUUUCCCUGGCACUAUAAGUGUCCUAAAGGGUUGUCGUAGACUACGACGUUGAUAGGCAGGGUGUGUAAGUGCUGCGAGGCAUUGAGCUAACCUGUACUAAUUGCCCGUGAGGCUUAACCAUACAACACCCAAGGGGUUU
Molecule: ribosomal RNA, 152 nt
Filed under: Vibrio sp. 10N.222.55.C12
Lineage: Bacteria; Pseudomonadati; Pseudomonadota; Gammaproteobacteria; Vibrionales; Vibrionaceae
Description: partial 23S ribosomal RNA
Rfam family: Bacterial large subunit ribosomal RNA (bases 1-134)
Source: RNAcentral